Molecule: ribosomal RNA, 1062 nt
Filed under: Triticum aestivum (bread wheat)
Lineage: Eukaryota; Viridiplantae; Streptophyta; Magnoliopsida; Poales; Poaceae
Description: partial small subunit ribosomal RNA
Source: RNAcentral
AUGAGGGUCAAUGUAGUGAGGCUGUGUUGGGGGAGAGGAAAAUCUGGGAUGUCAAUCUGGAAGGCUAAUGUCCCUCAGAAGAUUCACAUUUUUGCGUGGAGGGUUGCAACUAAUAGCUUGGCUGUCCAGGUUAAUAGAGUGGUGCAUCACCAAACUUCUGUUACGAUGUGCACUAUUUGUGGAAUGGAGGAUGAAAGUGCUUUUCAUGCGCUUCUUAGGUGUCCGAAGGCGGUUGCGUUGCGGAUGGCCAUGAGGGACAUUUGGGAGUUACCUACGAAGAAUGUCUUCAGAUAUACAGGGUAUGAUUGGUUUAUUGUUCUUCUUAGUCAAUUGAGACCUGUCAUGCACGACCAAAUUAUUUUCAUUUUCUGGAGAGCCUGGCACUUGAGAAAUGACUUGAUAUUUGGUAAAGGAAAGGAAUCAGUAGCAGCUUCUGCUAGCUUUGUGGAGAAUUAUUGGGCGUCUUAUGCCGCAUGUCACUCAGUGCCUCCAGUAGAUUCGAAAAAUAAAGGAAAAGGUCCAAUGGAUGGAUUAAGAUGGGCACCUGAUAAUGUGGGAGCUAAGGCGGAUUGGACUCCCCCACCAACUGGUUUUUUAAAGAUUAAUGUUGACGCAAGCUUUGUGGAGAGAAUCAGAGAAGCAAGUGUCGGUGUGGUGGUUAGGAAUGCGGCCGGGGAAGUCAUUGUCUCUUCUUGGGACUUCAUUGGAUCGUGUCAGAGUGUGGAGGAAGCAGAGCUAAGGGCAUGCAUUGCUGGUCUAUACAUAGGUAUACCUCUCCACAAUCCUAUUAUUUCAGAGACUGAUUGUGCGUUUGUUGUGGCGUCUCUUGCAACAGAGAACCUUGAUAGGUCACCGUUGGUCGAUUUGAAGAAGGAAGCACUGAGCUUAUCUAAGCUGAUAAACAACUUUCAAAUGGCUAAGAUUAGUCGAUCCGCCAAUGUGGUGGCUCAUCUAAUAGCAAAAUUUAGUUUUGACAAUAGAUCCGAUGGUAUUCUUGUUAAUGAUGUACCGCCCUGUAUGGUAAAUUUUGUAUCGAACGAUUGUAAGUUGCGCAAUGGUUAA